Molecule: ribosomal RNA, 497 nt
Filed under: uncultured bacterium
Lineage: Bacteria
Description: partial 16S ribosomal RNA
Rfam family: Bacterial small subunit ribosomal RNA
Source: RNAcentral
GACGAACGCUGGCGGCGUGCCUAAUACAUGCAAGUUGAGCGAUGAAGAUUGGUGCUUGCACCAAUUUGAAGAGCGGCGAACGGGUGAGUAACGCGUGGGGAAUCUGCCUUUGAGCGGGGGACAACAUUUGGAAACGAAUGCUAAUACCGCAUAACAACUUUAAACAUAAGUUUUAAGUUUGAAAGAUGCGAUUGCAUCACUCAAAGAUGAUCCCGCGUUGUAUUAGCUAGUUGGUGAGGUAAAGGCUCACCAAGGCGAUGAUACAUAGCCGACCUGAGAGGGUGAUCGGCCACAUUGGGACUGAGACACGGCCCAAACUCCUACGGGAGGCAGCAGUAGGGAAUCUUCGGCAAUGGACGAAAGUCUGACCGAGCAACGCCGCGUGAGUGAAGAAGGGUGUCGGAUCGUAAAACUCUGUUGGUAGAGAAGAACGUUGGUGAGAGUGGAAAGCUCAUCAAGUGACGGUAACUACCCAGAAAGGGACGGCUAACUACGUG